This 274-nucleotide long non-coding RNA is filed under the name Solanum tuberosum (potato). Its description in RNAcentral is "long non-coding RNA (STUB_LNC010458)". Lineage: Eukaryota; Viridiplantae; Streptophyta; Magnoliopsida; Solanales; Solanaceae. The record is from RNAcentral.
UAUGGUGGCACGCUGCCCCACCCCAUACUUAGAAAUUCGACGAAUUUUUACACUCAAUUUAGGGUCCUAACUCAUUUGAAAAGGGGAAAUUCUCCGAAACUCUUCUCGAUUCUCAAACUCAACACAAAUACAUGAGGAAUUCAACUCAAUCCCUUUGGGAAACACAACUUAUACUAAAGAUUCACAACACACAAGAAAUUGCAACUUCCAUUGUCAAGAAAUUGAACAAAUAUCAAGAAACUAUACUCAAGAAACCUUUAGAUACAGUGAUUUU